UGGGGAAUUUUGGACAAUGGGCGCAAGCCUGAUCCAGCCAUGCCGCGUGCGGGAAGAAGGCCUUCGGGUUGUAAACCGCUUUUGUCAGGGAAGAAAUCUUCUGAGUUAAUACCUCGGGAGGAUGACGGUACCUGAAGAAUAAGCACCGGCUAACUACGUGCCAGCAGCCGCGGUAAUACGUAGGGUGCAAGCGUUAAUCGGAAUUACUGGGCGUAAAGCGUGCGCAGGCGGUUUUGUAAGACAGAGGUGAAAUCCCCGGGCUCAACCUGGGAACUGCCUUUGUGACUGCAAGGCUUGAGUGCGGCAGAGGGGGGAUGGAAUUCCGCGUGUAGCAGUGAAAUUGCGUAGAUAUGCGGAGGAACACCGAUGGCGAAGGCAAUCCCCUGGGCCUGCACUGACGCUCAUGCACGAAAGCGUGGGGAGCAAACAGGAUUAGAUACCCUGGUAGUCCACGCCCUAAACGAUGUCAACUGGUUGUUGGGAAGGUUCCUUCUCAGUAACGUAGCUAACGCGUGAAGUUGACCGCCUGGGGAGUACGGCCGCAAGGUUGAAAGCUCAAAUGAAUUGACGGGGGCUGCA
RNAcentral lists this ribosomal RNA (579 nucleotides) under uncultured bacterium. RNAcentral's name for it is "partial 16S ribosomal RNA". It matches the Rfam family "Bacterial small subunit ribosomal RNA", at positions 355 to 925 of the family's 1533-position model. The record is from RNAcentral.